GGCACCUACGGGACGCAGCAGUGAGGAAUAUUAGUCAAUGGGCGGAAGCCUGAACCAGCCAAGUCGCGUGAGGGAAUAAGGCCCUACGGGUCGUAAACCUCUUUUGCCGGGGAGCAAGGGCCGGGACGCGUCCCGGCCCGGAGAGUACCCGGAGAAAAAGCAUCGGCUAACUCCGUGCCAGCAGCCGCGGUAAUACGGAGGAUGCGAGCGUUAUCCGGAUUUAUUGGGUUUAAAGGGUGCGUAGGCGGGCUUUUAA
RNAcentral lists this ribosomal RNA (256 nucleotides) under uncultured bacterium. RNAcentral describes it as "partial 16S ribosomal RNA". It matches the Rfam family "Bacterial small subunit ribosomal RNA", at positions 334 to 586 of the family's 1533-position model. The record is from RNAcentral.